Molecule: long non-coding RNA, 1321 nt
Filed under: Homo sapiens (human)
Lineage: Eukaryota; Metazoa; Chordata; Mammalia; Primates; Hominidae
Description: HSALNT0397019
Source: RNAcentral
GACUAACGGCUGGAACCGCCUAAGACACCACCCCAGCCAGCAUGGCCGGCAGGAGCGCACCGCGCUGUCUCCCUCCAGGGAUCCGCACCGCCCUACAAUCCUGCUUUGUGCUGAGAUUGUAGUCCUGCAGGCGUACAACUAACAAGCUGGGUGCAGAUAAGAGACUACAGCUCCCCGCAUCCCAAGCAAAGGUCCCUCCUCUACGGAGCCCCUCCACGCGUCCACUGCGGUUCCGCCGUGCCAAGGGGAGCUUGGCUGUUCACGGGCCUCACCUGCUAGCGAGAAGAUAGCUUGGCCGGGCGGCUGAUCUCACCUUGUAAUUCUGACACUGUGUCUCCCGGGCUUGUCGGCUUCAUGACUUGUGCCCAAAGUUUGAUUUCUCGCAGACCAGGAGGACCCAUUGGACCCCCGGGCUGGCUGCAGGGCCCACACCUGGGUUAGACCUCGCACAGGGACGCUGCUGCCACUGUAAUAAAGCGUGCCUACACGCUUCUGAAACUGGUGUAGGAACAACCUCAGUUCUGUGAAAGGCGGACGCAGCAGGACAGAAUCUCCGUGGACAUCUGUCUGGAGGAGCAAUUUUACUGCGACAUUUUAAAGAAACAAAUUUAAUUGAUUUCCAAGGGUGUCCAUCGCGCUUCCUUCACUGCCUUGAUCAUGUCGGGGUCACCACCUGCGGGGGUUUGUCCUGCAGACCCUGACUCAACGACGGAUGAAUAAUGUACACUGACACAGAUCUUAUGCUUGUCAGUCCUGCUGAGCAUCCAGGCCACUUACAGACUCCAAGAAGAGUCCUGUCAGCCACGGCUCUGACUUGUUGGCCCUCCCGGCAUUUAUUUAGCACACAUUUAAUGACAGAAGUCUCAGGCUGGAAACACUCUUUUUGUAGAACAUACAAAUGGACAUUUCUAAGCACAUUGAGGCCUAUAAUGAAAAAUCAAAUAUCCCACAAUGAAAACUAGAAGGAAGCUAUCUGUGAUAAUGCUUUGUGGUGUAUGGAUUCAUCUCACUGACUGAAACCUGAGUUUUGAUUCACCAGGUUGGAAACACUCUUUUUGUAGUUGAACGAAGGGACAUUUUUGAGUCCCUUGAGGCCUAUAGUAAUGAACAGAAUAUCCUGCAAUAAAAAUUAGAAAGAAGUUAUCUGGGAAAAUGCUUUGUGUUGUGUGGACUUAUCUCACAGUGUCAAACUAUUGUUUCCAUGCAACACUAUAAAUGCACACUUUUUGUAGAAUCUAUGAGGGGACAUUUCUGAGCCCAUUGAGGCCUAUAAAGAAAAACCAAACUUCCCAUGUUAAAAGCUAGAAACAAGCUAUUUGCG